CCAUCUCGUUAGUAUAGUUUCAACAAACAUUAGAAUGUGAGCCUAAAAUUAGAGGUGUAAACCCUCUUACUAACCG
This 76-nucleotide transfer RNA is filed under the name Pelusios castaneus (West African mud turtle). RNAcentral describes it as "transfer RNA-His". The record is from RNAcentral. Lineage: Eukaryota; Metazoa; Chordata; Testudines; Pelomedusidae.